RNAcentral lists this ribosomal RNA (260 nucleotides) under uncultured bacterium. Its description in RNAcentral is "partial 16S ribosomal RNA". It matches the Rfam family "Bacterial small subunit ribosomal RNA", at positions 793 to 1050 of the family's 1533-position model. The record is from RNAcentral.
GUCCACGCCGUAAACGAUGUGCACUAGAUUUGGGAGGUUUGACCCCUUCCGAGUCGCAGCUAACGCAUUAAGUGCACCGCCUGGGGAGUACGGUCGCAAGACUAAAACUCAAAGGAAUUGACGGGGGCCCGCACAAGCGGUGGAUUAUGUGGUUUAAUUCGAAGCAACGCGCAGAACCUUACCCGGGCUUGAAAUCCUGAGAACCUGCCCUAAAAGGCGGGGUGCCCUUCGGGGAAUUCAGUGACAGGCGCUGCAUGGCU